GGCAAAAUCAUAACAUACAACUAGGGGGUGCAGCGUAAAAUGGCUGUUCAAUUUUAUUUCGUGAAUAUUUUUUAAAUUGUUGACAUCGAAUAAUUUACGAAAUGCUGAAUACACAAGACAAAUGACGCAAAGUGUGUAAAUUGUUGGAAAUAAGUUAAAGAAAAACGACAACCACAAGUGCUCAAAACAAAAAGUGUCAGACGCCCCCAACAAAGUGGAAAAGCCACAUAGAAUGAACAUAGAAGUGUAAGGGACGUUGAACGGUGCGACUCUGGGGCUGGUUGGUGGUGGUGCAUAUUGUGCUGUGCUAAAGAAAAAAAAAGACAUCGGUAAAGUUAAAAGGAUUUUUGAAUUCAUCGCGAUUAUUCGCGUUCUAUUGCUCGAUUGCCCGAUUGCCCGCAUAAAUUAAUA
This is a long non-coding RNA of Drosophila innubila, 411 nucleotides long. RefSeq lists it as uncharacterized. Lineage: Eukaryota; Metazoa; Arthropoda; Insecta; Diptera; Drosophilidae. The record is from RefSeq and is a predicted model, not a curated record. The transcript is spliced from 2 exons.